GACGAACGCUGGCGGCGUGCUUAACACAUGCAAGUCGAACGAUGAAGCCCAGCUUGCUGGGUGGAUUAGUGGCGAACGGGUGAGUAACACGUGGGUGAUCUGCCCUGCACUCUGGGAUAAGCCUGGGAAACUGGGUCUAAUACCGGAUAUGACCUCUUGCUGCAUGGCGAGGGGUGGAAAGUUUUUCGGUGCAGGAUGAGCCCGCGGCCUAUCAGCUUGUUGGUGGGGUAAUGGCCUACCAAGGCGACGACGGGUAGCCGGCCUGAGAGGGCGACCGGCCACACUGGGACUGAGACACGGCCCAGACUCCUACGGGAGGCAGCAGUGGGGAAUAUUGCACAAUGGGCGAAAGCCUGAUGCAGCGACGCCGCGUGAGGGAUGACGGCCUCGGGUUGUAACCGUACUUUCUAGCAGGACGAAGCGAAAGUGACGGUACCUGCAGAAGAAG
This 448-nucleotide ribosomal RNA is filed under the name uncultured bacterium. Its description in RNAcentral is "bacterial SSU rRNA". It matches the Rfam family "Bacterial small subunit ribosomal RNA", at positions 28 to 490 of the family's 1533-position model. The record is from RNAcentral.